AUCACUAACAGGAACAAAGCUGGAAUGGAAGUGCUCCCAGAUCCUGGGCAGAGACAGAAACCGUUCUAGAUCAUUUGCGCUGGGGAAAGCUAUUCCAGCUGUCCCGUGCAGAGACGUGCUUGGCAAGGAGCAGAAGUUGCAGGCCAACAACUGCAUGUGGGGGCAAAUCCACCAGCUUCAGUCAAGCCUCGGAUGACUGAGCUCCCAGCUGACAACUUGAUUACAGACUUGUGAGAGACCCUUAGCCAGACCCACUCCAGAUCCAGGUCUCAGGAGCCCUCGGGGAAGGUUUGGUGGCUGCAGAAAGGACUUUCUCUGAGAAUCCAGAAGUGACAUCAGGGAAGAACCUCAAAGGAUCCAUGGUCCCCCAACACAGAGCAAGUGACUGCAGCUCCUAGAAUCUCUUCCUUCAGGGAGGCCCAGAGAAAUUAAGUGUUAAGAGGCCUUACCCUCAGACAACAUCUUCUCUCAGCCUCUGUGGCUACAGUAUGUACAGUGUGCUGAGUGUGGAAGGACCUCUCUCCCCAUUAAAUCUGUAGUGCGAUCACAUGGAAGGCAUCUGAGGACCUAGAGCAAGGAAACAUGGCUAUCCUGCCCCACUGUGGUCCCGAUCUGGGUACUGAAUCAGCAUCUUCCAAGGAUUUUUAAAAUAGAAACCCCCAGUUCUCAGCCUACACCAAUGAAUCAGAAUCUCUCAGGAUGGGGCUCAGGGAAGCUGUGUUUUUAAAAACUCCAAGUACCUUACUUACCUUCUCACCAUCAUGAAAAUAGAAAUGAACAAAAUUAACAAGGCAACAAUUUCCAGGCACUGGACCAGAGGCACAGUGCAGAACUGUGAUCUCUGAGAGGAGGGCAACACUCAAGGGAGGGAGACCUGUGUUUGCCCAGGUUCUGCCCAGGUGAAGCACAGGGAGGGGAAACCCAGGCAGACCACAGUGGUCUGAUGGAGCUGAGCAGAAUUCGGAGCUUGGGCUGCUGAAGUGGCUGGCAUAUGUGGGGGCAGAAAACAGGAAAGGAAAGCUGCAGAGGGAGAGAACAAAGACCCCAGAAAUGUGUAUGCGCAUGUCCUGUGGGCUGUUGGUUGAAGCCCGGGCUUUGAAGAACAGAGCAAGACUUGGUGGAGCCUAGCAGAGAGCAGCUGCUAAGGGCCUGGGAACAGAAUGGAAACAUAGGGAGACUCUCUGCAGGGCUGGGAGUUCCAGCUCAGCUAGAAUGGAGAAACUCUGGUGUGCAUCUCAGUGGAGACUGCAUAAAGGCCAUGUAUUAGGAAUAAAGACUACGCUUCUAGGAGAAGGACUACACCCUAGCACAGAGUUUCUUGGUAUCAGCAAUACUAGCAUUUUAAACAGGUCAUUUUUAUUUUCCCCUCCGGAGACAGAGUUUCACUCUUGUUGCCAAGGCUGGAGUGCAAUGGCAUGACCUCAGCUCACUGCAACCUCUGCCUCCCAGGUUCAAGGGAUUCUCCUGCCUCAGCUUCCCAAGUAGCUGGGAUUACAGGUGUGCACCACCACGCCUGGUUAAUUUUUGUAUUAUUAGUAGAGACGGGGUUUCACCAUGUCGGCCAAGCUGGCCUUGAACUCCUGACCUCAGGUGAUCCACCCACCUCGGCCUCCCAAAGCACCGGGAUUACAGGCGUGAGCCACCAUGCUCAGCCCAGGUCAUCUUUUUUGUGGGGAUUGUUUUGUGUAUUAUAGGAUGUUUAGCAGCAACCUUGCCCUCUACCCACAAAAUGCCAAUAGCACCCCACCCCCAUUUAUGAGAAACCAAAAUGUUUCCAGAUAUUGUAAAAUGUCCCUGGAAUGGGGAGCAAAAUUGUUCUCAGUUGAGAAUAACUGUCCUAGUAUAACGGCCACAUCUUAUGACUAAUGAUGAAAUGAAAAUAGACCAGUCCUAACAACAACAACAAAACAACAAAAGAAAACAAAGUGUAAUAGGAUCAUGAGAAUUCAUCAGUAUUUAAAUGUCUAAAUUAAUAGCCAAACUCAUAACAUUUAAAGGAAAACAACAUAAUCCAAUCUCCCUACAAGGUAUCAUCCACAAUAUCCCACCUACAGUGAGACAAGUGAAACAAACAAAAAAAUAUGAUCUAUAAUCAAGCAAUUGGUAGUCAAUAGAAACAGACACUUAGAUGGCACAGGUAUUGUAAUUAACAGAAAGACUACAAUAGCUAUUAUAAAUGAGGGGUCAGGAAAUGUAAAGAUGGAUCAAUAGAAAUUAUUCAAUCUGAAGAACAGAGAGUAAAAAGAGUUUUUUUAGAAAAAAAUGAAUAACCAUUGCUAUUGACUUUAAUGUGUCAAGAUUUUCAAUGGAGAAAGAAAGUCUUAUCAGCAAAUAUUAAUAGUAUAGAAGAAAUUGGAUAGUGACAUGGGAAAAAAGAACCCCACACUACAUACAAAAAUCAGCCUGAGAUGAAUCAAAGAUGAUUUAGAUUUUAAAAGUGAAGUCUAAAACAGUACAAAAACUGAAAGAAAGCAUAAGAGGAUGUGAUUUUGGUAAGCCAAAGUUUCUUAAGUGGGACACAAACAGCAACCAACAAUAACUAUAAAAGAAAAAUAUGAUAAAUUGCAUGCCAUCAAAUUAAAACCUUUUGUUUCUCAAAUGCACCAUGAAGAAAAUGAGUAAGCAAGCCACAGAUUGGGAGAAAAUAUUCCCAAAACAUAUAUUUCACAAAGGACUGGUGUCCAAAAUAUAAAAAGAAUGCAUACAACUUUUUAGAGACAGGGUCUCAUUCUGUUGUCCAAGCUGGACUGCAGUGGUGUGAUCAUAGCUCACUGCAGCCUGAACUCCUAGGCCCAUGUGAUCCUCCCACCUCGACCUCCCAAGUAGCUGGGACUGCAAGCACAUGCCACAACACCUGGCUCAAUUUUUUUUUUCUUUUUUUAUAGAGACAAGAGUCUCCCUAUGUUGCCCAACCUGCUGAGCUGGUCUGAAACUCCUGGGCUCAAAUGAUCUCUUGGCUUGGCCUCCCAAAGUGCUGGGAUUAUAGGCCUGAGCCACCGUGCCCAGCCUAAAUCCCCAGUUUUUGAAAUAAGCAAAAUAAAUUUGAACAGACAUUUCGCAAAAGGAGAUCCAUCAUUGGUCAAUUACCACAUGAAGAGUGCUCAACAUUGUUGGUCUUCAGGAAAAUGAAAAUUAAAACCACGAUCUGUACAAAUUCAUCCAACAAAAUACCUAAAAUUCAAAAGACAGAAAACAUUCAGUGUUGGAAAGAAUAUGGGGCGAUCAGGACUCUUGUGAACUGUUGGUAGAAAUAUAAAAAAGUACAACCAGUUUGAAAAAAGUUCCAACAGUUUCCUUGUAAAAUUAAAUAAACACCUGCUUUAUGAUCAAACAAUUCUACUUCUAGGUAUUUACCCAAGAAAAAGGGAAAUACACAUUCACAGUAAAAGACUUGUUCAAGAAGAUUCAUAGUAGCUUUAUUUACAAUAUCUAAAAGCAGAAAACAGCCCACGUGUCAUUAAUAGUAGACUGGCUAACUAAACUGUGGCAACUUCACAUUGUGG
Molecule: long non-coding RNA, 3503 nt
Organism: Homo sapiens (human)
Lineage: Eukaryota; Metazoa; Chordata; Mammalia; Primates; Hominidae
Source: Ensembl